RNAcentral lists this ribosomal RNA (301 nucleotides) under uncultured bacterium. Its description in RNAcentral is "partial 16S ribosomal RNA". It matches the Rfam family "Bacterial small subunit ribosomal RNA", at positions 509 to 807 of the family's 1533-position model. The record is from RNAcentral.
CAGCAGCCACGGGAAUACGAAGGGUGCAAGCGUUAAUCGGAAUUACUGGGCGUAAAGCGUGCGUAGGCGGUGAGUUAAGUCUGCUGUGAAAUCCCCGGGCUCAACUUGGGAAUGGCAGUGGAUACUGGCUCGCUAGAGUGUGUCAGAGGAUGGUGGAAUUCCCGGUGUAGCGGUGAAAUGCGUAGAGAUCGGGAGGAACAUCAGUGGCGAAGGCGGCCAUCUGGGACAACACUGACGCUGAGGCACGAAAGCGUGGGGAGCAAACAGGAUUAGAUACCCCCGUAGUCCCUGUCUCUUAUAC